GCCCCAAAAAGCCCCCCAUUUCCCCAUGGCCGCCGGCAGCUCGACGGCGCGCACUGCCCAGCUCGGCAGCGCGCCGAGCAAGGAGAAGCGCCCCGCGUCCGCCGCCGGUGCAGCGCCGUCCACUGCCCAGGAGCCGCCGCCGCCGCUGCCGCCGCCUCCACUGCCCCCCCGGCGCCGAGGUCGAGGUACUCGUCGACGACGCCGGUUUCCACGGCGCCUGGGUCGAGGCCACCGUUGUCCGCCUCGAGCCCGAGCUUGACGGCCCCGGCGCCGCCCGCUACACCGUCGCCUACUCAGGCUACUCCCACAUCGCGGCCGAUGGCGGCGGCGCCCCCGCCGAGUCCGUCGCCGCCUCGCACGUCCGCCCGCGGCCACCGCGGCCGCCGACCCCUCGCCGCUUCUGCACCCACGACGUCGUCGAUGCGUUCCACUUCCACCGCAGGGGCUGGUGGUCCGGCGUCGUCUUCCCCUGCCCCGCCACCCCCCGGCGCUGCCGAGUCCGUCACCGUCGCGUUCCCCAUCACCCGGGAGGUGAUAACCGUCCCGCGCCACUAUGUCCGCCCCCGCCGCGACUACGUCGGCGGCGAGUGGGUGCCCUCGCAGACCGCCAUCGCCAUCCAGCCGGCCCGCGCGGUCAGGGUCUACGAGGCCGGGGAGAAGAUCGAGGCCGUGAGGGACCGGGAGCCGUAUGGCAGCUCCUGGUUCCCUGCCACGGUGGCGAAGGCGGUCGAUGGGCUUAGCUACGUUGUGGAGUAUUCCGAUGAGGAGGAGGAAGGGGAUAAGGUGAUGGAGUAUCUGCAUUGGCAGUACAUCCGACCGGCCGUGGAGCGGCAUUGGGCAUGGGAGGACGGUUUCCAGAUUGCGCCUGGCUCUGCGGUGGAGGCGUACUGCAACGGGGCAUGGUCUCCUGGGGUGGUGCGAGGAAUGUCCGGGGAGGGUGAUGAGUAUGAGGUGAUUGUCAAUGGCAAGGAGGCCGAGCAGGUGGUGAUCAAGGUGCUGGAGUUGCUCCGGCCGCGGCAUGAGUGGGAUGAGUCACUGGAGCGUUGCGAGUACUGAGGAAAAUAAUUACCACUACGUGAAACUUCUAGAUUGUCUUCUGUAGUAAAUGGAGAUUGGAUGCUUGUACAUAUACCUGCGGGAUUCUUAGUGUAAACAAUCUGUUAGUACUGUGAGAAGAACUAGGAGAAGUGGCAUGUGUCUAUUUGGAGUAAAACUUUUUUUAGUUAGAAGAAUAGAAGUCGAUGAUCAAUUUGGUUCUCCUGUAUUAUAAGAAAAACUAAUAAAAUAGUUUUUACUAAACAGAUGGCUUUAAAGUGUAAAGAAUCCUUUUAGAAGCGAAUGAUGCAUUUGUUCAUUCGUCACAUUUACAGUCUAUUGACCAGUUACUAGUUCUGAAAACUUCAUAAACAUGGCUGAUUUAUUUGUCCAACAGUUUGCUGGGUAGCCAUUUUAGUUGAUGCCUAGCUAAUUAAUCUAUGGAUCUCACCAUGCUUUUCUUUCUGAAAGUGUACUAGUAGUUGCUUUAAAUUCUAGCUAAUUUAUUCAUGCAACAGUCUGCAGUUUUCGUCUUUUAAGGAGUACCCAUUGUUCAUUGGUGUAAACAUGCCUUAUUUCUGUUAAGGUUCUUUUGUAGUUUUAUUAAUUGGAAACGCAUCCCCUAGAAUUGUAACUUACAAGGUUCUUAAAAGUGUUAUAUUUGCAUGGGUUCGUAUCUCUCUUUCACUAUUUAAUUAAUGAGAGUCUAUUGUAUGGUUUCAUUGUUCUUUCUCAGACUUAUUAGAUUUAAAGUAUCUAUUAUCAUAGUGCAUUAGUGCCUUGAAUCGCACUUGCUGUUUUUUUGCUAUGUAGAUUCACUUUUCAAGAUAUAUGCAAGGAAAUUCAUGGGAUAGCCAUUUUUGUCACCCUUUUUGUGGACAUUGGCUAAAUGCUGAGAUUCUUUUUAGUCUUCUUUCACUGUCAAUCUUCUCAUUGCAACUGUACAUGGAUUUUUUUUUUUGGCAUUGUAUCCUAUAUGAGAUUCAUGGUUCAUGCUUAGUUCUUUCAUUAUCUCAUUUUACUUGGGAUUGCUCAUAAUUUUUUGUCUGUGAAGAAAUGAACUUAUUUUGGAAAAAGAAACCUGCAAUGUUAUAUUAAAAGCUAUUUUCUUUAGUACUUUUAUUUCCAGGCUGCUUAUGAUAUAGGUGCAGAUGGCACCAUGGCUUGCUAGAUUGCUAUAACACACGGUAGUUCACAACAAUGGGCAUUAAAUACAGUUUCUUAACUGUGGAAGGACAUUCAACUAGUAAUAGUAAUAGAGACUUUGGUGGCUACAGUAGAAUAGAUUAGUUUAGUCUUAAUGUUUUCAGCGUCGCAUCCUACCCUACAACUUGCUUGCUCCAUUCUGAUAUUUCAAAACUU
Molecule: RNA transcript, 2397 nt
Organism: Panicum virgatum (switchgrass)
Lineage: Eukaryota; Viridiplantae; Streptophyta; Magnoliopsida; Poales; Poaceae
Gene name: protein AGENET DOMAIN (AGD)-CONTAINING P1-like
Exons: 3
Source: RefSeq, a predicted model, not a curated record